AAAAAAAACUAUUGCAACUUCCGGUUAAUAGGGAAAUCAAUGAAUUAUAACAUUUAAACAUAGCAGAACAAUUUGAGUGAACAAUUGCACAGCACUAAUGUAAUUAUAAAUAACUUUGAAUAUUUGCACUGCACUUAUGUAAAUAUGCAGGGUUUUGUGUGCAUAGAGAAUUAUGAAGUGUUCAUCUCCAUCCAAUGUUGCACCGGAAGUAAGUUACCCUGCGCGCCAAACGCAAACGUGGAAGCGAUGAUUUCAGGUAGAGGCGCCAAGCGAAGCCUCGCCCAUUAGGUUUAGUUAGCUGCAGUGCUCGCUUGCAUGGUUAAGUAAUUAACCUGAGGGUGGAACAAAUCUCUGAGACAUCCUCACCCUUGAAGCUCCAGUGAACAUUGUGUCUGACUGCAGUAGUGAAACGCCUAAAGCUGCUGGUGAUCCAGUCAGCAUUUUGAAUGCUCCUAAAGUUGCUGGUGCUCCAGCUAGAAUUAGUGAAGCUUCUGGUUUCUGAAGCUGCAAUCAGCAUUGUGUCUGAUGGGAGUGCUGAUGCCAUCAAAGUUCCGUUUCGCUUCCAGUCUGACUAGAGCGCUGAUGCUGUUGAAUCUCCGAUCUGAUUCCAGCCUGUCUUGAGGACAUCCUAUCCUUCUAUCAUCCUUGUUCAGGUUGCAGUCAAAUGUAUCAAGAAAACAGCACCUGGAAUACAUCAACAAUCCAUGGUCUGAUGUUGUCUCCUGAUGGAGGCCGCUCUAUUGAUUCUAGACAAUGAAAACACCAGAGUCUUUCAAAUUAUCCAGCUG
Molecule: non-coding RNA, 788 nt
Organism: Danio rerio (zebrafish)
Lineage: Eukaryota; Metazoa; Chordata; Actinopteri; Cypriniformes; Danionidae
Source: RefSeq, a predicted model, not a curated record